GCUCAACCGGGGAGGGUCAUUGGAAACUGGGGAACUUGAGUGCAGAAGAGGAGAGUGGAAUUCCACGUGUAGCGGUGAAAUGCGUAGAGAUGUGGAGGAACACCAGUGGCGAAGGCGACUCUCUGGUCUGUAACUGACGCUGAGGCGCGAAAGCGUGGGGAGCGAACAGGAUUAGAUACCCUGGUAGUCCACGCCGUAAACGAUGAGUGCUAAGUGUUAGAGGGUUUCCGCCCUUUAGUGCUGCAGCAAACGCAUUAAGCACUCCGCCUGGGGAGUACGGUCGCAAGACUGAAACUCAAAGGAAUUGACGGGGGCCCGCACAAGCGGUGGAGCAUGUGGUUUAAUUCGAAGCAACGCGAAGAACCUUACCAGGUCUUGACAUCCCCUGACAACCCUAGAGAUAGGGCUUCCCCUUCGGGGGCAGAGUGACAGGUGGUGCAUGGUUGUCGUCAGCUCGUGUCGUGAGAUGUUGGGUUAAGUCCCGCAACGAGCGCAACCCUUGAUCUUAGUUGCCAGCAUUCAGUUGGGCACUCUAAGGUGACUGCCGGUGACAAACCGGAGGAAGGUGGGGAUGACGUCAAAUCAUCAUGCCCCUUAUGACCUGGGCUACACACGUGCUACAAUGGGCAGAACAAAG
This 637-nucleotide ribosomal RNA is filed under the name uncultured bacterium. RNAcentral describes it as "bacterial SSU rRNA". It matches the Rfam family "Bacterial small subunit ribosomal RNA", at positions 607 to 1244 of the family's 1533-position model. The record is from RNAcentral.